Molecule: non-coding RNA, 1064 nt
Organism: Lactuca sativa (garden lettuce)
Lineage: Eukaryota; Viridiplantae; Streptophyta; Magnoliopsida; Asterales; Asteraceae
Source: RefSeq, a predicted model, not a curated record
GAUUCCAUUUUCUACAUGAAAUUUCUAAUAUACACUCAUUGCCUGCUACUAUGCUCCUGGCAUAAUCGAUUUUCUACACUAUCAUCUAAAAUAAAGCACAAACUGGUUUUUUUUUUUCUAACAUUUCCUUAUACCACCGCCUCUAACAUUAUCUCUCUCUCUCUCUCUCUCUCACAUUCGUUUUCCCUUAUAUGAAAUUAGGGUUUUUUUUUCCACUGAAAGUAGCGACAGUUCCUUAUCAAUCUAUAUGUUAGUUUUUGGUAUAUUUCUUCCGAUUACGCUAGCUGUUUCUCUCCACCGCUAUCUUCUCCAUCCAUGUUCGAUUUCUUAUCACGACUUGAGUUCCAUUAGCUCGUCGUGUGGUCAAAAUUUCAAUGUCGAUCUACUGUGCGCUUCCUUCUUUUCUUACAAGUUCCAUCUCUACCUCUCAAAUUCUAAUAAUCACUUUAUUGAUCAUCUUCAUCUUCUUCUUUAGUUCUUUUUUUUCCAUACUUCAUAGGAUUCACGAGUUAAGUGUGGAGGAAAUUUGUAGCUAGGGCUUAUAAUUGAUUCGUAGAUUAAAUUGGGGUACUUUUUAAAAGUGUUUUUUGGAUACUUUUUAUUCUUGAAACUUUAGUUAUUUCUUUCCACCGACAGAGGGGAGUGGGAAGAUGCAUAUGGUGAUGUUGGGGAUGAAAGGUUUAUGGGUGGUGGUUGACAGUUAGAAGUAAACACUAUCAAAUAUAAUGUUUGCAAUGGCUUAAAGAAAGUUAUUCUCAUAGAAUGCGUGAAGUGAAGAUGGUGAUCAAUGACAUGAAGGUUAGAUGAUGGUAUAUGUAAUGAAGAUGAACAAUGGUCACCAAAGAAAGCACUAUUCAUCAUUAUAUUCUCGCAGAAUAAUCUACAAUAGAAUGAUAAGGAUAUGUUUAAUAGUAUAUUCUUAUAGAAUAAUCAACAAAUUGUGUUUGUUUUUUAGUGGUAAGUGUUUCAUUAUCAUAGAAUAGAAUAUAAAGUUUUUUAUUUUUUUAGAGUGUGAUAGAAAAAAUUAACAUGCAUGUAUCCAAAAUUUUGUUAUUUUUCGAGAA